RNAcentral lists this transfer RNA (83 nucleotides) under Loktanella fryxellensis. It matches the Rfam family "tRNA". Rfam says of the family: Transfer RNA (tRNA) molecules are approximately 80 nucleotides in length. The record is from Rfam by way of RNAcentral. Lineage: Bacteria; Pseudomonadati; Pseudomonadota; Alphaproteobacteria; Rhodobacterales; Roseobacteraceae. RNAcentral also lists the same sequence under 1 other name.
GCCGGUGUGGCGGAAUGGUAGACGCAGGGGAUUCAAAAUCCCCCGAUCGCAAGGUCUUGUCGGUUCGAGUCCGACCACCGGUA